This 650-nucleotide ribosomal RNA is filed under the name uncultured marine bacterium. RNAcentral describes it as "bacterial SSU rRNA". It matches the Rfam family "Bacterial small subunit ribosomal RNA", at positions 82 to 728 of the family's 1533-position model. The record is from RNAcentral.
UCCCUGGUGGCGAGCGGCGGACGGGUGAGUAAUGCAUAGGAAUCUGCCCGGUAGUGGGGGAUAACGUGGGGAAACCCACGCUAAUACCGCAUACGUCCUACGGGAGAAAGCGGAGGAUCUUCGGACUUCGCGCUAUCGGAUGAGCCUAUGUCGGAUUAGCUAGUUGGUAAGGUAACGGCUUACCAAGGCGACGAUCCGUAGCUGGUCUGAGAGGAUGAUCAGCCACACUGGGACUGAGACACGGCCCAGACUCCUACGGGAGGCAGCAGUGGGGAAUAUUGGACAAUGGGCGAAAGCCUGAUCCAGCCAUGCCGCGUGUGUGAAGAAGGCUUUCGGGUUGUAAAGCACUUUCAGCGAGGAAGAAAGCCUCUGGGUUAAUACCCCAGAGGAAGGACAUCACUCGCAGAAGAAGCACCGGCUAACUCCGUGCCAGCAGCCGCGGUAAUACGGAGGGUGCGAGCGUUAAUCGGAAUUACUGGGCGUAAAGCGCGCGUAGGUGGCUUGGCACGCCGGUUGUGAAAGCCCCGGGCUCAACCUGGGAACGGCAUCCGGAACGGCCAGGCUAGAGUGCAGGAGAGGAAGGUAGAAUUCCCGGUGUAGCGGUGAAAUGCGUAGAGAUCGGGAGGAAUACCAGUGGCGAAGGCGGCCUU